CUCCACACGCUUGUUUCCUGGGUGUUUACCCGAGUGCACCUGGGAGAGAGGAGAGUGGAACAAAUGAGCGACACAGAGUGUGUGUGAGAAAGGCAGAGCAGACACGGCAAGAAAGGAAAAAAGAAGACAUAAAGAGAAGAGCAGAGCAGAGCAGAGUCGGCCUUCCAGCAUCACAUAAAGAACAUGUUUCCGCUGCAGAAGCCCUGCAGGCGCUGCAGUGUCUGCUCUAACAGCAGAGCAGAACAGUCCCCUGAGGCGUCGGAGGGGCCAAAACUGAGCCGACCAAACUUGGCUUCCGACCCCGGAGCAGCGACACGCCCACUUGGCGGCGGCCUGCAGUGCAUUCCUGAUAACAAAUAACACCACCUUCAUCCUGACCUCCACUUGUUACGGGAUACAGCCGAUACCCUAACCUCCUCAGCUUCAUGGGUCUCUUCACACUCCCCCUUCAAACUUUUUCGGUUUCAGAAAUGUACAACAUCCAAAAAUAAAGUGUGCAUCAUCAAUUAUG
This is a long non-coding RNA of Epinephelus fuscoguttatus (brown-marbled grouper), 511 nucleotides long. RefSeq lists it as uncharacterized. The transcript has 3 exons. Lineage: Eukaryota; Metazoa; Chordata; Actinopteri; Perciformes; Serranidae. The record is from RefSeq and is a predicted model, not a curated record.